UACGGGGGGGGCAAGCGUUGUUCGGAAUUACUGGGCGUAAAGGGCUCGUAGGCGGCCAACUAAGUCAUACGUGAAAUCCCUCGGCUUAACCGGGGAACUGCGUCUGAUACUGGAUGGCUUGAGUUCGGGAGAGGGAUGCGGAAUUCCAGGUGUAGCGGUGAAAUGCGUAGAUAUCUGGAGGAACACCGGUGGCGAAGGCGGCAUCCUGGACCGAUACUGACGCUGAGGAGCGAAAGUCAGGGGAGCAAACGGG
This 253-nucleotide ribosomal RNA is filed under the name uncultured bacterium. Its description in RNAcentral is "partial 16S ribosomal RNA". It matches the Rfam family "Bacterial small subunit ribosomal RNA", at positions 524 to 776 of the family's 1533-position model. The record is from RNAcentral.